AAAGUCAUUAGAGAAUCAUUUGACAAUUAUAUUGAUCAAAGUCUACUUCUGAAUUAGAUCGAUUCAAUACCAACCUAGUUCAACUCAACUUAACCAAAUACCAAUCUGAGCUAACCUGAAUUGACUCUUGAUGAAGCAUUAUGAUCAGUGCAGGUUAUCUACCGACUCACUGUAUGGGAUAUCGGUCCAGAACCAAUGUGAUCUCAAAAUACAGAUGGUUAUUUUACAGCUGUCUUCUAGCUUGCUAUAGCCAUGAUACAACUCAUCGUCAUUUGGAUAUGUGGCAAUAGAUUAUUAUCUAAAGUAAAUGUUCUCUCAUAUUACAUCAGCCCA
Molecule: long non-coding RNA, 333 nt
Filed under: Elaeis guineensis (African oil palm)
Lineage: Eukaryota; Viridiplantae; Streptophyta; Magnoliopsida; Arecales; Arecaceae
Description: long non-coding RNA (EGUI_LNC060177)
Source: RNAcentral